GAUCAACCUUUUUCUGGCCAAUGGGACAAACUAAGUUAUUAGUGAAGCCCUCACAGAGCCCUGUAAAAGCCUUUACUCUUGUAUAAGCCAACUCAUCCUGACAUCUUCAACCAGGGUACUUCAAGAAAAAGACAAGUUCAAAAAUUAGGAAGAUGAAGAACAACUUAAAAAUUCAAUGCAUUUCAGUGUUGAAAGUCACCUCCAUCCUUUUCAGUUUCAAAGACUGGGGUCAAAAAUCCAAUCACAGGUAAGCUGCCAGCCUUUCCUUAAGAAUUCAAACUAGGCUACCUGGAUCCUUCAAAUGGACAAAUGGUUCUAGGAAAAAGAGACCCAGCAGUGGUUUCUCAGGAAAACCUACAAAGUGCCUGUAAUUAUAAAAAGAUAAGCAUGUCUGGGAAAGUCUUUUGAGUAAGACUACUGCACAUGAAGCUGACUAGAAUGAAACACACACACACACAAUGACAAUAGUCUACAUUAAAAGGUAAUGGACAUCUAAAAAGCAACCUAUGGCCCCCAAAUCUUUAGUCUGAAAGCAAACUGAGAGCUGCUCAGCUGAUGAGGGUAAUAUUCUCCAAUGACCUUUUUAGAUGCAACUAAGGAUAAUGAAAAAGUGAAUAGUGAACUCUCAGAAGAAUUAGCCAAAAGCCAUGGAGAGAAAUGGCCUAGGAAGAUACUGUCAAGAAAAACAGGCCUAAUCAAAGAACAUUCCUUAUAUCUAAAAUAAGGGGAUCUCACAGUAUGUUCCCAGCAUAAUUUCAGAUUGCUACGGAACAAUGUUGUGUGCUUCUUAAACCUCUCCAUUCCAAAUGGGGGUAUUUAUUAUGUGAUAUAUCACAGAUCUACAUGUGUGUAUAAAGGGGAGAGAGGAGCAUAUAACUUGUGUUUUCAGUUCCUUCAUCUCCAGAUUAAUGUUGAUCAUGAAUUCCUAGACUUUGUGCCUGGUGCCAUAAUUAGAUAAGACAUUUAAGGGAUGAGAUGAGUGAGAUUUAUCUGGUAUGUUUUAAAACAAAAACAAAACUCAUCUGCAUGUGUACCUCACCUUCUUAAUUUCACUACAGUAGUUAAAACUAUGUUGUAAUUCUAUGCCACUAUUUUUAAGAAAACCUUAACAGCGUGGCAGUAAAAUAAAACUCUUUUAAGUAUA
Molecule: long non-coding RNA, 1144 nt
Organism: Pteropus alecto (black flying fox)
Lineage: Eukaryota; Metazoa; Chordata; Mammalia; Chiroptera; Pteropodidae
Exons: 2
Source: RefSeq, a predicted model, not a curated record